RNAcentral lists this transfer RNA (71 nucleotides) under Marmota monax (woodchuck). RNAcentral's name for it is "tRNA.Ala". Lineage: Eukaryota; Metazoa; Chordata; Mammalia; Rodentia; Sciuridae. The record is from RNAcentral.
GGGGUUGUGGCUCAGGGAUAGAGUGCUCCCCUAGCACGUGCGAGGCCCUGGGUUCGAUCCUCAGCACCACA